AAGUGGUGUGAUAUGCGAGUCCAAAACUUAUACGUGAACCAUCGAAUUGUUGAACGCAUUGCAUCGAGCUUUGCCCAAGCACGAUAUGCCCCAUUGAGCGUCAUCAUGUCUUCGGAAGCCUCAUUCCGAGUUCGGGACUCAUGGCCUCUGACCGGCCACGCCUCCUCAGAUACAUUCGCGUCCCAGAGACGUCGCGCUCCUUGUCGUGAACUUCAAGGCGCCGAGUCCUCGGGUGGAACGCUCGUCCGGUCGGCCUCUUUGGUCGACCAAGCCCCGAGCGCCGUGGCUCCGUCCCGGCCUCGCUCCUCGACAUGACCUCACGGGGGUGAGACGACCCGCUAGACUUAAGCAUAUUAAUCAGCGGAGGAAAAGAAACUAACAAGGAUUCCCCUAGUAACUGCGAGUGAAGAGGGAAGAGCUCAAUGUGUGAAUCUGGCCGGGAGUGACGCCUGGCUCGAAUUGUGCACUAUUGACGCUGGAUCAGCGCAUGGGAUCUCGCGGCGGAUGUCCGAUGAAACACGGCACCACAGUGGGUCACAGUCCCGUACUCGCCCAUCGAGCGCCCGCGCCUAUGACCAGUGUUCUUCGAGUCGCGUAGUUUUGUAUUGCUGCGCCAAUUGGGAGGUAGAGCCCUUCUAAAGCUAAAUAUGAUGGCGUGACCGAUAGCAAACAAGUACCGUGAGGGAAAGGUGAAAAGCAACCAUGCAGAAUGGGUUGAAAGAGAAGUGAAAGUGCUACCGGGAUAAGGGCUAUUGAUUGCAAGUGCGGGUCGCGUGUGCUUCAGUGCUACGCUUGCCGCCGUCGCGCAUCGAUUGGGGACCGGGGAGAGAAGGGCGGCGGGAACACGGCUCGGCCUCGAGUGUUGCAGACCGCCGACCACUUGAGCCCCCCUCGAU
Molecule: ribosomal RNA, 896 nt
Filed under: uncultured Tulasnellaceae
Lineage: Eukaryota; Fungi; Basidiomycota; Agaricomycetes; Cantharellales; Tulasnellaceae
Description: eukaryotic LSU rRNA
Rfam family: Eukaryotic large subunit ribosomal RNA (bases 313-896)
Source: RNAcentral